AAAAAAUACAUAAUAAACCAAACAAACCUAAUCAGUCGAAAUAAAUCUACGAAUUACUAGAAUAUUCCAUCCCAUGAAAAUUGGAUGGAUACAAACAAAACAAAGAAUUCCGUCUAGAAACUACGCAGUAACACCAGAAUUCAAUCACAGACGUACGCGACAAACCUGCCUCCAUUUACCGUGACGCGCUAAACAAAGACAAACAACCGAAACGGUGUCUUAGAUGUCGAUCAAUACCCCCCCAGUAGGUCACGUAGGCCGCGUCGCAUUCACGAACAUUCUAGCAGUGGGGGUCGAGUCUAUAAAUACCGAGCGAGCGGAAAACGCGUCACAGUUCGCUCUAAAGUGUCGUUCAAAUAACGAGUUUGGUGUGUGUUAGUGGUGUACUUAGGUUUUUUUUGGGUGUAAGGCGUUGGCGCAUAUAAUUAUUGAGUUUCCUAUCCAACGUUCUGCGUAAUAACUGCUAGUUAUGCGUCCAAUAUGGCGACUAUUGACCAAUCGAUAACUAGAACUAGGCUAGGGUGCGGUCGCACGAGAACGCACGCGCUGAUUCGAUCGAAAUCGAUAUCUAUUCUAGUAGAGCUGAGCCGGAUUUAAAUAAUCGUUUAAAGAGUAAAAGGGGUAUGGUUAUAAAUGAUAAUUGAAUCUUUUAGAAAGGGGCUUCGGCUUCUAGUAGGUAACCUUAAUUUUGGGCCCUAGGGCCGGAACAUUACGAAUUUUUCUAGAUUUUUUCCAACCGUUGUUCGUCGUCGCUUUCCGAGGUGUCCCGACUGAGAGGUAUAGAUAGAUAGACACUACCCUGACGACAACCCUUAAUAAUUUAAAAAAAAAAAACUUAAUACUUUUGCCUGUAUAUUUAGCAUUACCUAUAUUAUUAUUAUUAUUAUUAUUGAAAAAACAAUUUAAUAACUUUCAUAAUUGACCCUACACGAAUAAUCAACUAUAUAAUACCCCAUACAUAUGUAGACCCAUUUUAUUUACAAAAAAAAACUGCUGGCGUUUGUAGUAUAACCGACAUAAUAAAAUAACUUUUUAUUUAAAACAAA
This is a long non-coding RNA of Anthonomus grandis grandis, 1046 nucleotides long. RefSeq lists it as uncharacterized. NCBI's taxonomy places the organism in Eukaryota, Metazoa, Arthropoda, Insecta, Coleoptera, Curculionidae. The record is from RefSeq and is a predicted model, not a curated record. The transcript is spliced from 2 exons.